AGAAACUACAAAGGAAGUUGACGGGGGCCCGGCACAAGCGGUGGAGCAUGUGGUUUAAUUCGAUGAUACGCGAGGAACCUUACCUGGGCUCAAAUGUAUGUUGACGUAUUCUGAAAGGGAUACUUCUUCGGACAAUAUACAAGGUGCUGCAUGGUUGUCGUCAGCUCGUGCCGUGAGGUGUCGGGUUAAGUCCCAUAACGAGCGCAACCCCUAUCAUUAGUUGCCAUCAGGUCAAGCUGGGGACUCUAAUGAAACUGCCUACGCAAGUAGUGAGGAAGGUGGGGAUGACGUCAAAUCAGCACGGCCCUUACGUCCAGGGCUACACACGUGCUACAAUGGCCGGUACAAAGGGCAGCUACCUGGUGACAGGAUGCUAAUCUCAAAAGCCGGUCUCAGUUCGGAUCGGAGUCUGCAACCCGACUCCGUGAAGCUGGAAUCGCUGGUAAUCGCGCAUCAGCCAUGGCGCGGUGAAUACGUUCCCGGGCCUU
RNAcentral lists this ribosomal RNA (488 nucleotides) under uncultured Sphingobacteriales bacterium. Its description in RNAcentral is "bacterial SSU rRNA". It matches the Rfam family "Bacterial small subunit ribosomal RNA", at positions 894 to 1382 of the family's 1533-position model. The record is from RNAcentral. Lineage: Bacteria; Pseudomonadati; Bacteroidota; Sphingobacteriia; Sphingobacteriales.